GACGAACGCUGGCGGCGUGCUUAACACAUGCAAGUCGAACGGAAAGGCCCCUUUGGGGGUCCUCGAGUGGCGAACGGGUGAGUAACACGUGAGUAACCUGCCCUUGACUUCGGGAUAACUUCAGGAAACUGGGGCUAAUACCGGAUAGGAAUCCUUGCUGCAUGGUGGGGGUUGGAAAGCUUCGGCGGUUUUGGAUGGACUCGCGGCUUAUCAGCUUGUUGGUGGGGUAGUGGCUUACCAAGGCUUUGACGGGUAGCCGGCCUGAGAGGGCGACCGGCCACAGUGGGACUGAGAUACGGCCCAGACUCCUACGGGAGGCAGCAGGGGGGAAUAUUGCACAAUGGGCGGAAGCCUGAUGCAGCAACGCCGCGUGCGGGAUGACGGCCUUCGGGUUGUAAACCGCUUUCAGCAGGGGCGAAGCUUGUGGUGACGGUACCUGCAGAAGAAGCACCGGCUAACUACGUG
Molecule: ribosomal RNA, 465 nt
Filed under: uncultured bacterium
Lineage: Bacteria
Description: partial 16S ribosomal RNA
Rfam family: Bacterial small subunit ribosomal RNA
Source: RNAcentral